CGCGGCCUAUCAGCUUGUUGGUGGGGUAGUGGCUUACCAAGGCUUUGACGGGUAGCCGGCCUGAGAGGGUGACCGGCCACAUUGGGACUGAGAUACGGCCCAGACUCCUACGGGAGGCAGCAGUGGGGAAUAUUGCACAAUGGGCGGAAGCCUGAUGCAGCAACGCCGCGUGCGGGAUGACGGCCUUCGGGUUGUAAACCGCUUUCGCCUGUGACGAAGCGUGAGUGACGGUAAUGGGUAAAGAAGCACCGGCUAACUACGUGCCAGCAGCCGCGGUGAUACGUAGGGUGCGAGCGUUGUCCGGAUUUAUUGGGCGUAAAGGGCUCGUAGGUGGUUGAUCGCGUCGGAAGUGUAAUCUUGGGGCUUAACCCUGAGCGUGCUUUCGAUACGGGUUGACUUGAGGAAGGUAGGGGAGAAUGGAAUUCCUGGUGGAGCGGUGGAAUGCGCAGAUAUCAGGAGGAACACCAGUGGCGAAGGCGGUUCUCUGGGCCUUUCCUGACGCUGAGGAGCGAAAGCGUGGGGAGCGAACAGGCUUAGAUGCCCUGGUAGUCCACGCUGUAAACGGUGGGUACUAGGUGUGGGGUCCAUUCCACGGGUUCCGUGCCGUAGCUAACGCUUUAAGUACCCCGCCUGGGGAGUACGG
RNAcentral lists this ribosomal RNA (643 nucleotides) under uncultured bacterium. RNAcentral's name for it is "bacterial SSU rRNA". It matches the Rfam family "Bacterial small subunit ribosomal RNA", at positions 232 to 885 of the family's 1533-position model. The record is from RNAcentral.